Molecule: ribosomal RNA, 245 nt
Filed under: uncultured bacterium
Lineage: Bacteria
Description: partial 16S ribosomal RNA
Rfam family: Bacterial small subunit ribosomal RNA
Source: RNAcentral
UAGGUGGCGAGCGUUGUCCGGAAUUACUGGGUGUAAAGGGAGUGUAGGCGGGAAGGCAAGUCAGAAGUGAAAACUAUGGGCUUAACCCAUAGCCUGCUUUUGAAACUGUUUUUCUUGAGUGAAGCAGAGGCAAGCGGAAUUCCUAGUGUAGCGGUGAAAUGCGUAGAUAUUAGGAGGAACACCAGUGGCGAAGGCGGCUUGCUGGGCUUUUACUGACGCUGAGGCUCGAAAGCGUGGGGAGCAAA